UCAAGAUACUAAGGGCGUAUGGUGGAUGCCUUGGCACCGGAAGCCGAUGAAGGACGUGGCAAGCUGCGAUAAGCCGUGUGGAGCCGCAAGCGGGCUAUGAAGCACGGAUCUCCGAAUGGGGAAACCCGGCACGGGUAAUGCCGUGUCACCCCUACCUGAACACAUAGGGUAGGAGGAGGGAACCCGGGGAAAUGACACAUCUGAGUACCCGGAGGAAAAGAAAGAAAGUCUCGAUUCCCUGAGUAGUGGCGAGCGAAAGGGGAGAUAGCCCAAACCGGAUGCGUGAAAGCCUGCGGGCGUUGCGUAUUCGGGGUUGUAGGACCAACACGGUCGUCCCGCAGGGCGGCCAGGGAGUUACAAAACGCGCGGGUAGCCGAACCAGUCAGGAAAGUCUGACCGCAGAGGGUUACAGUCCCGUAGGCGAAACUCGGGCGACUCCUUGUUGGCACCUGAGUAGAUCCGGACACGUGAAACCCGGAUCGAAUCCGCGGGGACCACCCCGCAAGGCUAAAUACUAACGGUGACCGAUAGCGAACCAGUACCGUGAGGGAAAGGUGAAAAGUACCCCGCAAGGGGAGUGAAAUAGUACCUGAAACCAUACGCUUACAAGCGGUCGGAGCAAUCUUUUGGAUUGUGACGGCGUACUUUUUGCAUAACGGGCCAGCGAGUUGCUGGUGUCUGGCAAGGUUUAGCUAAGAGCGAGCCGAAGCGAAAGCGAGUCUGAACAGGGCGUAUAGUCAGAUGCCGCAGACCCGAAACCGGGUGAGCUAUCCAUGGCCAGGCUGAAGCGGGGGUAAGACCUCGUGGAGGGCCGAACCGACCUGGGUUGAAAACCGGGCGGAUGAGCUGUGGAUAGGAGUGAAAGGCUAAUCAAACCCGGCGAUAUCUGGUUCUCCCCGAAAUAUAUUUAGGUAUAGCCUGGCGCGUUUCGUCGCGGGUGUAGAGCACUGUUUGGGCGCGGGGCCCCACAAGGUUACCAACCUCAGACAAACUCCGAAGACCGUAGACGUUAGAGCGCUGGAGUCAGGGAGUGGGGGAUAAACUUCAUUUCCGAGAGGGAAACAACCCAGACCGUCGGCUAAGGUCCCUAAAUAACGGCUAAGUGGUUUAAAGGAUGUGGCGCUGCACAGACAACCAGGAUGUUGGCUUAGAAGCAGCCAUCAUUUAAAGAGUGCGUAAUAGCUCACUGGUCAAGUGGUGUUGCGCCGAAAAUUCUCGGGCCUGAAAGUCGUUUACCGAAGCCACGGACUCUAGAUAGCUUCGCUAUCUGGAGUGGUAGGGGAGCAUCCUGUAACGAGCGAAGCGGCGACGUAAGUCUUGCCGUGGACGGAUCAGGAGAGAGAAUGCUGGCAUGAGUAACGAGAGACAGGCGAGAAACCUGUCCGCCGAAAGCCCAAGGGUUCCUGGGUAAAGCUAAUCUUCCCAGGGUCAGUCGGGACCUAAGCCGAGGACGAAAGUCGUAGGCGAUGGACAGCAGGUUGAUAUUCCUGCACCACGAACGUAGCGUUAUCAGCGAUGGAGGGACGGAGAAGGGUAAGCCAACCGUGGCGCUGGUAGACCACGGGCUUGCUCGUAGGCCGGGGACCAGGAAAAUCCGGGCCCCACAAAAGGCUGAGGAGUGAGCCGAGCCCUUUACGGGCGUAGUGGCCCAACCCAUGCUUCCAGGAAAAGCUUCUAAGCGAGUUGCGUGCGUGCCCGUACCAAAACCGACACAGGUGGGCGAGUGGAGAACACUAAGGCGAUCGAGCGAACUAUGGUUAAGGAACUCGGCAAAUUGUCCCCGUAACUUCGGGAGAAGGGGAGCUCUGGACGGUGUAGGGCCUUGCGCCCCAAGCUGUUCGGAGCCGCAGAGAAUAGGCCCAGGCGACUGUUUACCAAAAACACAGGUCUCUGCUAAGUCGAAAAGACGAUGUAUAGGGGCUGACGCCUGCCCAAUGCCAGAACGUUAAGGAAGCUGGUUAGCCUGGCCCUUCGGGGCCUUGCGAAGCUGGCGACCGAAGCGCUGGUCAAUGGCGGCCGUAACUAUAACGGUCCUAAGGUAGCGAAAUUCCUUGUCGGGUAAGUUCCGACCUGCACGAAAGGCGUAACGAUCUGGGCGCUGUCUCGACCAUAGGCUCGGUGAAAUUGUAGUCUCGGUGAAGAUGCCGAGUACCCGCGGAAAGACGGAAAGACCCCGUGAACCUUUACUAUACCCUGGCAUUGGAUGCUGACACACCUUGUGCAGGAUAGGAGGGAGGCUG
This 2240-nucleotide ribosomal RNA is filed under the name soil metagenome. RNAcentral's name for it is "bacterial LSU rRNA". It matches the Rfam family "Bacterial large subunit ribosomal RNA", at positions 3 to 2157 of the family's 2925-position model. The record is from RNAcentral.